AGCAGCCGCGGUAAUUCCAGCUCCAAUAGCGUAUAUUAAAGUUGUUGCAGUUAAAAAGCUCGUAGUUGAAUUUCGGGGUUAGUAAGUUGGUCAUGCCUUCGGUAUGUACUGGCUUUACUGAUUCCUCCUUCUUGACGAACCGUGAUGUCAUUAAUUUGGUGUUGCGGGAAAUCAGGACUGUUACUUUGAAAAAAUUAGAGUGUUUAAAGCAGGCUAACGCUUGAAUACAUUAGCAUGGAAUAAUGAAAUAGGACGUUAAUCCUACUUUGUUGGUUUCUAGGAUCGACGUAAUGAUUAAUAGGGAUAGUUGGGGGCAUUAGUAUUCAAUUGUCAGAGGUGAAAUUCUUGGAUUUAUUGAAGACUAACUACUGCGAAAGCAUUUGCCAAGGAUGUUUUCAUUAAUCAAGAACGAAAGUUAGGGGAUCGAAGACGAUCAGAUACCGUCGUAGUCUUAACCAUAAACUAUGCCGACUAGGGAUCGGAUGAUGUUAUUUUUAAUGACUCA
This 505-nucleotide ribosomal RNA is filed under the name uncultured Glomus. RNAcentral describes it as "SSU rRNA". It matches the Rfam family "Eukaryotic small subunit ribosomal RNA", at positions 569 to 1078 of the family's 1831-position model. Lineage: Eukaryota; Fungi; Glomeromycota; Glomeromycetes; Glomerales; Glomeraceae. The record is from RNAcentral.